Molecule: transfer RNA, 72 nt
Filed under: Camelus bactrianus (Bactrian camel)
Lineage: Eukaryota; Metazoa; Chordata; Mammalia; Artiodactyla; Camelidae
Also listed under: 3 other names
Rfam family: tRNA
About the family: Transfer RNA (tRNA) molecules are approximately 80 nucleotides in length. Their secondary structure includes four short double-helical elements and three loops (D, anti-codon, and T loops).
Source: Rfam by way of RNAcentral
GAGGGUAUAGCACAGUGGUAGAGUGCAUGCUUAGCAUACAUGAGGUCUUGGGUUCAAUCUCCAGUACCUCCA